RNAcentral lists this ribosomal RNA (497 nucleotides) under Platypleura cf. adouma MHV-2009. Its description in RNAcentral is "partial 16S ribosomal RNA". The record is from RNAcentral. Lineage: Eukaryota; Metazoa; Arthropoda; Insecta; Hemiptera; Cicadidae.
AAAAUUGAAGGUYUAAUYUGCCCAAUGAUAUUUGAAUGGCCGCGGUAAUUUGACCGUGCAAAGGUAGCAUAAUAAUUAGUCUUUUAAUUGAAGGCUUGAAUGAAAGAUUGGAUGAAAAAUAAACUUUAUUAAUAUAAAUUAUUUAACUUAUCAUUUAAGUAAAAAUUCUUAAAUAUAUAAGUGGGACGAGAAGACCCUAUAGAGUUUUAUUUUUAUUUCUAUUAUUAAAUUAAAGAAUUAGUAUUUUUAUAAUAUAAAUAAAUUUUUUAUUGGGGUGAUAUUAAAAAUUAAUAAACUUUUAAUUAAUAUUUCAUUAAUAUAUGUACUUUGAUCCAAAAAAAUUUUGAUUAUAAGAUUWAAUUACCUUAGGGAUAACAGCGUUAUUAAUUUGAAGAGUUCUAAUCGAUAAAUUANUUUGCGACCUCSAUGUUGGAUUAAYAAUGAAUUUUGAAGCAGCAUUUAAAAUCAUAGGUCUGUUCGACCUUUAAAUUCUUACG